Benincasa hispida (wax gourd) is the source of this 102-nucleotide small nuclear RNA. Lineage: Eukaryota; Viridiplantae; Streptophyta; Magnoliopsida; Cucurbitales; Cucurbitaceae. The record is from RefSeq and is a predicted model, not a curated record.
GUACCCUUGCAGACAUCCAAUAUAAUUGAAACAAUAUAGUGAAGAUUAGCAUGACCCCUAUGUAAGGAUGACACGCUUAAAUCAAGUGCUCGGCAUCUUUUC